RNAcentral lists this ribosomal RNA (279 nucleotides) under uncultured bacterium. Its description in RNAcentral is "partial 16S ribosomal RNA". It matches the Rfam family "Bacterial small subunit ribosomal RNA", at positions 506 to 784 of the family's 1533-position model. The record is from RNAcentral.
UGCCAGCAGCCGCGGUAAUACGAAAGGAGCUAGCGUUGUUCGGAAUCACUGGGCGUAAAGAGCGUGUAGGUGGCCUAUUAAGUUAGACGUGAAAUCCCCGAGCUUAACUCGGGAACUGCGUUUGAUACUGGUAGGCUUGAGAUUAGAAGAGGAGAAGGGAAUUCCUAGUGUAGAGGUGAAAUUCGUAGAUAUUAGGAGGAACACCGGUGGCGAAGGCGCUUCUCUGGGCUAAAACUGACACUGAGACGCGAAAGCGUGGGGAGCAAACAGGAUUAGAUA